RNAcentral lists this ribosomal RNA (454 nucleotides) under uncultured bacterium. Its description in RNAcentral is "partial 16S ribosomal RNA". It matches the Rfam family "Bacterial small subunit ribosomal RNA", at positions 28 to 507 of the family's 1533-position model. The record is from RNAcentral.
GAUGAACGCUGAGAGAAUGCUUAACACAUGCAAGUCAACUUGAACUUCGGUUUGGGUGGCGGACGGGUGAGUAACGCGUAAAGAACUUGCCUCACAGAUAGGGACAACAUUUGGAAACGAAUGCUAAUACCUGAUAUUAUGAUUAUAUGGCAUCGUAUAAUUAUGAAAGCUAUAUGCGCUGUGAGAGAGCUUUGCGUCCCAUUAGCUAGUUGGAGAGGUAACGGCUCACCAAGGCGAUGAUGGGUAGCCGGCCUGAGAGGGUGAUCGGCCACAAGGGGACUGAGACACGGCCCUUACUCCUACGGGAGGCAGCAGUGGGGAAUAUUGGACAAUGGACCAAGAGUCUGAUCCAGCAAUUCUGUGUGCACGAUGAAGUUUUUCGGAAUGUAAAGUGCUUUCAGUUGGGAAGAAAAAAAUGACGGUACCAACAGAAGAAGUGACGGCUAAAUACGUG